RNAcentral lists this ribosomal RNA (496 nucleotides) under uncultured bacterium. RNAcentral describes it as "partial 16S ribosomal RNA". It matches the Rfam family "Bacterial small subunit ribosomal RNA", at positions 29 to 507 of the family's 1533-position model. The record is from RNAcentral.
AUGAACGCUGGCGGCGUGCCUAAUCCAUGCAAGUCGAGCGAACGGACGAGAAGCUUGCUUCUCUGAUGUUAGCGGCGGACGGGUGAGUAACACGUGGAUAACCUACCUAUAAGACUGGGAUAAUUUCGGGAAACCGGAGCUAAUACCGGAUAAUAUUUUGAACCGCAUGGUUCAAAAGUGAAAGACGGUCUUGCUGUCACUUAUAGGUGGAUCCGCGCUGCAUUAGCUAGUUGGUAAGGUAACGGCUUACCAAGGCAACGAUGCAUAGCCGACCUGAGAGGGUGAUCGGCCACACUGGAACUGAGACACGGUCCAGACUCCUACGGGAGGCAGCAGUAGGGAAUCUUCCGCAAUGGGCGAAAGCCUGACGGAGCAACGCCGCGUGAGUGAUGAAGGUCUUCGGAUCGUAAAACUCUGUUAUUAGGGAAGAACAUAUGUGUAAGUAACUGUGCACAUCUUGACGGUACCUAAUCAGAAAGCCACGGCUAACUACGUG